CUUCAAUUGCAGAAGCUGCUUGGAGUCCCACAUCAAAUAGGGAAUGGAUUCUCAUGGACUCUAAACAAGCGUAUGGGUCCAAAGUUAGUAUCUCACCAUGGAGAAGAAAAGAGAAUGGAUUGCAACUCAAAGAUUGCUUUGGCAUAUGUAGUCUAUGAUGAGUGUUUCCAGCCUAUCAUUGACAGCAGGACCGGCUUGGAUAGUAUCCCAACAAUUGUUUUCAACUAUGGGUAAGUACUUUGGGAGUUGGUUUCCUCUUUUAUGAAAUUUUUUCUUUCUCCCACCUUGUGGUUAUCCCGACUAACCACAUACUCCCCAUAAAAUCCACCUAUAUUGUUAUAUGUAAUUGCUAGUAUUUGAAUCUGUAAAGUAUUUAACUUCCCUCUUUUCAAAUCAAGCUUGAACCAUCUUGACUAUCAUGGGUUUUACACUUUCACCUUAGAGAGAAAAGAUGAAGUAACUACUGCAGCAUCCAUCAGGGUUCAUGGGACCAAGCUAGCUGAGAUGCCAUUUUUUGGAACCAGAGAGAAGUAUAGACGCGAAGGAAUGUGUCAACAAUUAGUUGACGCAAUUGUAUAUGUUCUUCUCUCCCCCAAAGUAAAAAAUCUGGUCUUACCAUCAGCCUCUGAAAGACUUGAUUAUUAGACAACACAUUAUGAAUUCAAGCACAUCACUGAGAUACAAAGAAGAGAGAUGUUCUCCAUGAACUUAAUGGUGUUCAAGGAUACAACUAUAUUGCAAAAGACCUUAUUACUGGAUGAUGAUUCACUGGAAGGAAAGAAAGAAGCUAGUGAAGUUUUGAAUGGUGAUUAUGAACCAAAAUGCAGUAAUUCUGAAGAUAGUCCCAGAGACAAAGAAGAUAAGUCUCCUAAGCCCUUGCUAUUUGAUCUCAACCUUGAACCUCCUAAUGAGGAGGUGAAAAUGUGCAAAAAUGAUGAAGAGAAGAAACCAUCAUUAGGAAUAUUCCUUGCAUUGAAAGAUGAUGGUAGUCUAAAUCUUAAAAAAUGUUUUGUUGAUGGUCCCCUAAGUAUUAUCCAUUGAAAUUCUUUUAGAUGAUGGUCGGGAGCUAUGAACUGUCUUAUUAUCCAUCUCAAAAAAUCUUUCUUUCUAGUCUAGAAUCUAGAUAGAGGAGCACGCCAAUAAGGUUUGGCAAAAUGGUUCUGUACAUCAAAGGACUCUGAGAUCAUUUUAUGUGAGGAGAGAGAGAGAGCAUGCUAGCGUACCCUCUCCUAGCAGCUCAGAGAACCUUUUCCCAAUGGGGAAUGCGUU
This is a long non-coding RNA of Macadamia integrifolia, 1269 nucleotides long. RefSeq lists it as uncharacterized. The record is from RefSeq and is a predicted model, not a curated record. Lineage: Eukaryota; Viridiplantae; Streptophyta; Magnoliopsida; Proteales; Proteaceae. The transcript has 4 exons.